Molecule: microRNA, 22 nt
Filed under: Arabidopsis lyrata
Lineage: Eukaryota; Viridiplantae; Streptophyta; Magnoliopsida; Brassicales; Brassicaceae
Description: aly-miR402-5p
Gene: aly-miR402-5p
Source: miRBase by way of RNAcentral
UUGGCCUAUUGAACCUCUGUUU